UCCUACGGGGCGCAGCAGUGGGGAAUAUUGGGCAAUGGGCGCAAGCCUGACCCAGCAACGCCGCGUGAAGGAAGAAGGCUUUCGGGUUGUAAAAUUCUUUUAUGAGGGACGAAAGAAAUGACGGUACCUCAUGAAUAAGCCACGGCUAACUACGUGCCAGCAGCCGCGGUAAUACGUAGGUGGCAAGCGUUAUCCGGAUUUACUGGGGGUAAAGGGCGUGAAGGCGGGAGUGCAAGUCGGAUGGGAAAAUUAUGGGCUAAA
This 261-nucleotide ribosomal RNA is filed under the name uncultured bacterium. RNAcentral's name for it is "partial 16S ribosomal RNA". It matches the Rfam family "Bacterial small subunit ribosomal RNA", at positions 337 to 612 of the family's 1533-position model. The record is from RNAcentral.